CUGACGGAGCAACGCCGCGUGAGUGAUGAAGGUUUUCGGAUCGUAAAACUCUGUUGUUAGGGAAGAACAAGUACCGUUCGAAUAGGGCGGUACCUUGACGGUACCUAACCAGAAAGCCACGGCUAACUACGUGCCAGCAGCCGCGGUAAUACGUAGGUGGCAAGCGUUGUCCGGAAUUAUUGGGCGUAAAGCGCGCGCAGGCGGUUUCUUAAGUCUGAUGUGAAAGCCCCCGGCUCAACCGGGGAGGGUCAUUGGAAACUGGGGAACUUGAGUGCAGAAGAGGAGAGUGGAAUUCCAGUGUAGCGGUGAAAUGCGUAGAGAUGUGGAGGAACACCAGUGGCGAAGGCGACUCUCUGGUCUGUAACUGACGCUGAGGCGCGAAAGCGUGGGGAGCGAACAGGAUUANAUACCCUGGUAGUCCACGCCGUAAACGAUGAGUGCUAAGUGUUAGAGGGUUUCCGCCCUUUAGUGCUGCAGCAAACGCAUUAAGCACUCCGCCUGGGGNAGUACGGUCGCAAGACUGAAACUCAAAGGAAUUGACGGGGGCCCGCACAAGCGGUGGA
This 563-nucleotide ribosomal RNA is filed under the name Bacillus licheniformis. Its description in RNAcentral is "bacterial SSU rRNA". It matches the Rfam family "Bacterial small subunit ribosomal RNA", at positions 383 to 936 of the family's 1533-position model. The record is from RNAcentral. Lineage: Bacteria; Bacillati; Bacillota; Bacilli; Caryophanales; Bacillaceae.